AGGACGAACGCUGGCGGCGUGCCUAAUACAUGCAAGUCGAGCGGACAGAAGGGAGCUUGCUCCCGGAUGUUAGCGGCGGACGGGUGAGUAACACGUGGGUAACCUGCCUGUAAGACUGGGAUAACUCCGGGAAACCGGAGCUAAUACCGGAUAGUUCCUUGAACCGCAUGGUUCAAGGAUGAAAGACGGUUUCGGCUGUCACUUACAGAUGGACCCGCGGCGCAUUAGCUAGUUGGUGGGGUAAUGGCUCACCAAGGCGACGAUGCGUAGCCGACCUGAGAGGGUGAUCGGCCACACUGGGACUGAGACACGGCCCAGACUCCUACGGGAGGCAGCAGUAGGGAAUCUUCCGCAAUGGACGAAAGUCUGACGGAGCAACGCCGCGUGAGUGAUGAAGGUUUUCGGAUCGUAAAGCUCUGUUGUUAGGGAAGAACAAGUGCGAGAGUAACUGCUCGCACCUUGACGGUACCUAACCAGAAA
This 480-nucleotide ribosomal RNA is filed under the name Bacillus pumilus. RNAcentral describes it as "bacterial SSU rRNA". It matches the Rfam family "Bacterial small subunit ribosomal RNA", at positions 26 to 489 of the family's 1533-position model. The record is from RNAcentral. Lineage: Bacteria; Bacillati; Bacillota; Bacilli; Caryophanales; Bacillaceae.